This 440-nucleotide ribosomal RNA is filed under the name uncultured bacterium. RNAcentral's name for it is "partial 16S ribosomal RNA". It matches the Rfam family "Bacterial small subunit ribosomal RNA", at positions 338 to 795 of the family's 1533-position model. The record is from RNAcentral.
CCUACGGGUGGCAGCAGUGGGGAAUAUUGCACAAUGGGGGAAACCCUGAUGCAGCGACGCCGCGUGAGUGAAGAAGUAACUCGUUAUGUAAAGCUCUAUCAGCAGGGAAGAAAAUGACGGUACCUGAGUAAGAAGCCCCGGCUAACUACGUGCCAGCAGCCGCGGUAAUACGGAGGGGGCAAGCGUUAUCCGGAUUUACUGGGUGUAAAGGGAGCGUAGACGGGUGUGCAAGUCUGGAGUGAAAGGCGGGGGCUCAACCCCCGGACUGCUAUUGAAACUGUACGGCUUGAGUGCAGGAGAGGUAGGCGGAAUUCGUAGUGUAGCGGUGAAAUGCGUAGAUAUUACGAAGAACUCCAAUGGCGAAGGCGGCUUACUAGACUGUAACUGACGUUGAGGCUCGAAAGCGUGGGGAGCAAACAGGAUUAGAUACCCUUGUAGUC